RNAcentral lists this ribosomal RNA (541 nucleotides) under uncultured eukaryote. Its description in RNAcentral is "bacterial SSU rRNA". It matches the Rfam family "Eukaryotic small subunit ribosomal RNA", at positions 549 to 1096 of the family's 1831-position model. The record is from RNAcentral.
UGGAGGGCAAGUCUGGUGCCAGCACCCGCGGUAAUUCCGGCUCUAGUAGCGUAUAUUAAAGUUGUUGCAGUUAAAAAGCUCGUAGUCUGACUUCGGGCUGGGCUGUGAAGGCUCACCGCAAGGUGGGACGGAUAGCCUGGCCUUACCCUCUGAUGUGCUCUCUGCUCUUAACUGAGUGGAUCUGUCGCACAGAGGCGUUUACCUUAGCAAAUUGAGGUGUUCAAGGCAGGCAUAAUCGCUCGUACACGUUAGCAUGGGAUAAUGAAAUAGGGCCUUGGGUUCGCUGUUGCCGGUUGGUGAGCCCGGGCAAUGAUCAACAGGGGCGGUCGGGGUGCUUCAUAUGCAGGCGCUAGAGGUGAAAUUCUUGGACCGUCUGCAGAUGCCCAGAUGCGAAAGCGUUGCACCAGUACGUCCCCAUUGAUCAAGAACGAAAGUUAAGGGAGCGAAGACGAUCAGAUACCGUCGUAGUCUUAACCCUAAACGAUACCGACCAGGGAUCGAGGAUAGUCCCAUGGUUGACUCCUUCGGCGCCUUACGGGAA